Molecule: long non-coding RNA, 740 nt
Organism: Populus euphratica (Euphrates poplar)
Lineage: Eukaryota; Viridiplantae; Streptophyta; Magnoliopsida; Malpighiales; Salicaceae
Exons: 2
Source: RefSeq, a predicted model, not a curated record
AUUACUAAUUUACUUUGUUUUAACUUGUCAAUUGAAAUUACACUAUUGAUUUCAAACUAUUACAACCUUUUUUCUCAUCUUCUUAAUGUAUCUAAUGCCUACAACUCAGAUAGUGUUUGGGUACCAUUUAGGGUCCCAGUAUGUAUAGAUCCAAAAUCCUAAGAGCUGUUGUUUGAACUACUUGUCUUAAAAUGGUUCUUUUCAUCUUUCUGUUUUCUAUGCCAUUGCAUGUCACUGAGGUAGUUGGCACUCCUAAUUACAUGUGUCCUGAGCUCCUAGCAGAUAUACCUUAUGGCUACAAAUCAGACAUGGUCAAUUGGAUGCUGUAUGUUCGAAAUUGCAGCACAUCAACCAACAUUUAGAGCUCCUAUAAGUACAAGCCUGAUCUUCUGCUACAAAUGUAGCAUAAAUAUAAUUUGGUUACCAGCAUAGCACCUGCAAUUUACUUUAGUAUGAACUUCAAAGUAUGAUAGGGAGCUACCUACUCUUGCCGUUGAGAUCUAGUCAGUAGUCACUCUUUUAGCCUUCUCGCAUUAGAUCAGCUGAAAAGGUAUGUUUGAUUACCUCCCUCCUACUACAAUUUUGGUUUGCUUUGUUCUCCAAAUCUUAGUCUUUUGCAACGAAUAUAACUCGAUGAGAAGGAAUUCGCACUAACAUAAUUGAAAAUUGCAUUUGAUUGUGGAAAGGGAGUGGCCUAUUUAGAAAAUUUACUCUCUAAAUUUGGAUCUAUAUUGUAGAAU